ACUGAGCGUUGUGGUGGGUGCCUGUGGUCCCAGCUACUUGGGAGGCUGUGGUAGGAGACUCGCUUGAGCCCAGGAGUUGGAGGUUGCUGUGAGCUGUGAUGCCAUAGCACUCUAUCCAGGGGGACAGCUUGAGGCUCUGUCUCAAAAAAAAAAAAAAGAAAGAAAGAAUUAAACAGAAGAUUUUGUUUUUUGAGACAGAGCCUCAAGCUGUCCCCCUGGAUAGAGUGCUGUGACAUCACAGCUCACAGCAACCUCCAACUCCUGGGCUCAAGCGAGUCUCCUGCCUCUGU
Non-coding RNA from Otolemur garnettii (small-eared galago), 290 nucleotides. The record is from Rfam. Lineage: Eukaryota; Metazoa; Chordata; Mammalia; Primates; Galagidae.